UACGUAGGGGGCUAGCGUUGUCCGGAAUCAUUGGGCGUAAAGCGCGUGUAGGCGGCCCGAUAAGUCCGCUGUGAAAGUCCAGGGCUCAACCCUGGGAUGCCGGUGGAUACUGUCGGGCUCGAGUCCGGAAGAGGAGUGUGGAAUUCCUGGUGUAGCGGUGAAAUGCGCAGAUAUCAGGAGGAACACCAAUGGCGAAGGCAGCACUCUGGGACGUGACUGACGCUGAGGCGCGAAAGCGUGGGGAGCGAACAGG
Molecule: ribosomal RNA, 253 nt
Filed under: uncultured bacterium
Lineage: Bacteria
Description: partial 16S ribosomal RNA
Rfam family: Bacterial small subunit ribosomal RNA
Source: RNAcentral